This 337-nucleotide unclassified non-coding RNA is filed under the name soil metagenome. RNAcentral describes it as "partial contains 5.8S ribosomal RNA, internal transcribed spacer 2, and large subunit ribosomal RNA". The stretch from base 1 to 120 matches the Rfam family "5.8S ribosomal RNA", at positions 35 to 154 of the family's 154-position model. The record is from RNAcentral.
GAUGAAGAACGUAGUGAAAUGCGAUAAGUAAUGUGAAUUGCAGAAUUCAGUGAAUCAUCGAAUCUUUGAACGCACAUUGCGCCCGCCAGUAUUCUGGCGGGCAUGCCUGUUCGAGCGUCAUUUCAACCAUCAAGCCCCCCGGCUUGUGUUGGGGACCUGCGGCUGCCGCAGGCCCUGAAAAGCAGUGGCGGGCUCGCUGUCACACCGAGCGUAGUAGCAUACAUCUCGCUCUGGGCGUGCUGCGGGUUCCGGCCGUUAAACCACCUUCAUAACCCAAGGUUGACCUCGGAUCAGGUAGGAAGACCCGCUGAACUUAAGCAUAUCAAUAAGCGGAGGA